Molecule: small nucleolar RNA, 93 nt
Organism: Talaromyces stipitatus ATCC 10500
Lineage: Eukaryota; Fungi; Ascomycota; Eurotiomycetes; Eurotiales; Trichocomaceae
Rfam family: Small nucleolar RNA snR73
Source: Rfam
GCUUCACAUGAUGAUUUACUAUUUUUUAUCACGACGGUCAACAUAAGGAAUUUAAAUUGAUGACCACUGCCUGUGACAGGGCAUUAACUGAAC